AGCCUCCUGCAAAGCUUCCCUUCUCUCCAAGAGUUUGCUCCCUGAAGCUGUAAAAAUAACAAGGUCCCAGCAGAGCCUGGUGGCAGAGCUCAGUUCAGGAAGGGCCCGCAGCGUGUGUUGCUGGAGACUCUACAUUCGUGUGGACACGUGUGCGCAGGUGUGUGGGCUCGUGUGCGCGCUCCUGUGGGUGUCUGCGGCUUGCUGCAAGACCCGAGGAUAAAUAUGAAAGAAACCAGAUGAGGGCAUGGAGGCCCUUUGACCAUAGGGUUAGAGACGAUCCCACAGGAAAUGGCGGAAGAAGCGACAAGAACUCCAGCCCCAGAAUGUCUUCUAGGAGCGCUGCCUCCUCUACCUGGUACUUCUUACCUUCGGAUUGUUUAAUUAUAAAGAAAUAAGUGUCCAUCUUG
Molecule: long non-coding RNA, 407 nt
Organism: Marmota monax (woodchuck)
Lineage: Eukaryota; Metazoa; Chordata; Mammalia; Rodentia; Sciuridae
Exons: 3
Source: RefSeq, a predicted model, not a curated record